AAUUUUAGUUCCAAAUUUACGUCAUUGAGGAGAAAAGUUUGGCAAAAAUAAUAAACAAGCUAGUUCUAUAAAUUGGAUUCAUUAGAGUGCAGGACAAAAACAUGCACUCAUAACAUCUUAGGGAUCUAGGAGGUCCUCAAAUGCUUCGAUAGGAAGAUCAAUGAUUGGUUCAUCACUAUCAUCCUCAUUUGGAGGGAGCGUGGAAAAGGGUGAGUUCCAUAAACUCUGUAAGAAAAAUAUUAUUUAAACAACAUUAUUAAGAUUUUAAGGGUACUAAAUCUUUAAAGAAAUAUACCAUUAAUCGCUUACCAUCGAAGAUCAUUGCAUGUGAGUUCAUUUCAUU
RNAcentral lists this long non-coding RNA (343 nucleotides) under Carica papaya (papaya). RNAcentral describes it as "long non-coding RNA (CPAP_LNC007063)". The record is from RNAcentral. Lineage: Eukaryota; Viridiplantae; Streptophyta; Magnoliopsida; Brassicales; Caricaceae.